GCACAUCAACAGAAAAAUACAUCAUCAUAUAUAUCCAACAGAAAACAAUAAUUAAUUAAUAACAAAAUUAGGAACAACUUAAUAAGUAGUACAAAUUAAACACCGUCUUACAUGAAUAUAUAUAUCCGAUCCACAAUAAUAUAUUAUGAGAAAUAUAUAUCUUGAAUUAACCAUGCAUGCAUGCACUAAAAUCAAAGGAAAAUGAUAUAUCAUAUAUAAUUCAAACAGACUAUUGAUCAUGAUAUAUAUUGCUCGGUCAGGUCUGCUCGCUCAAACUGGUCGAUCAGGCGCAACAAAAAGCAAGAACACACCUAAAUGGACACAAGAGGCAAUUUAUAGCCACACCUAAAAUUUCACAGGGCAAACAAAGAACACAUAAUGAACAUACAGUGCAGCAUGCUAAGCAAGCUCCACAACCAUCAAGCUCUUCUUCUGAUCUCCCCUCUAGCAGCCUUGAUUCCGCCGCCGCCGCCGACAUAUCUGAUCACUACCAGUAUAUUAGAAAUUAAUAUUGUUGUAUAUAUGCUAGCUAGCUCUCCUUUUUGCACAUCUUCUUGAUUGAUUGAUUGAUUGUAAUUAAGGUCUUAAGGUAUAUAUAUAUAUAUAUAUAUAUAUAGGGCCGGCCAGUGGAUAUUUUUUAUUUUUUAUUUUUGGUUGUUGGGGAAAUUAAUUAAGGC
This 677-nucleotide long non-coding RNA is filed under the name Panax ginseng (ginseng). Its description in RNAcentral is "long non-coding RNA (PGIN_LNC005315)". The record is from RNAcentral. Lineage: Eukaryota; Viridiplantae; Streptophyta; Magnoliopsida; Apiales; Araliaceae.